Molecule: ribosomal RNA, 268 nt
Filed under: uncultured bacterium
Lineage: Bacteria
Description: partial small subunit ribosomal RNA
Rfam family: Bacterial small subunit ribosomal RNA
Source: RNAcentral
AGGACGAACGCUGGCGGCGUGCUUAACACAUGCAAGUCGAGCGGUAAGGCCCUUCGGGGUACACGAGCGGCGAACGGGUGAGUAACACGUGGGUGACCUGCCCUCAGCUCUGGGAUAAGCCCGGGAAACUGGGUCUAAUACCGGAUAUGACCUCUUGUUGCAUGACGGGUGGUGGAAAGCCGGUUACUUUGGUUCUGGCGGCUGGGGAUGGGCCCGCGGCCUAUCAGCUUGUUGGUGGGGUGAUGGCUUACCAAGGCGACGACGGGUA